UACGGGGGGGGCAAGCGUUGUUCGGAAUUACUGGGCGUAAAGGGCUCGUAGGCGGCCAACUAAGUCAUACGUGAAAUCCCUCGGCUUAACUGGGGAACUGCGUCUGAUACUGGAUGGCUUGAGUUUGGGAGAGGGAUGCGGAAUUCCAGGUGUAGCGGUGAAAUGCGUAGAUAUCGUAAGGAAGACCAGUGGCGAAGGCGGGUCUCUGGACAGUUCCUGACGCUGAGGCACGAAGGCCAGGGGAGCAAACGGG
RNAcentral lists this ribosomal RNA (253 nucleotides) under uncultured bacterium. RNAcentral describes it as "partial 16S ribosomal RNA". It matches the Rfam family "Bacterial small subunit ribosomal RNA", at positions 524 to 776 of the family's 1533-position model. The record is from RNAcentral.